This 330-nucleotide ribosomal RNA is filed under the name Truncatoflabellum spheniscus. Its description in RNAcentral is "partial 16S ribosomal RNA". It matches the Rfam family "Bacterial large subunit ribosomal RNA", at positions 2059 to 2418 of the family's 2925-position model. The record is from RNAcentral. Lineage: Eukaryota; Metazoa; Cnidaria; Anthozoa; Scleractinia; Flabellidae.
AUGCUACAUCCAAAUUGUUAGACAAGAAGUCCCCAUGGAACUUUACUGGAGACUUAUGUGGCUAAAAUUAAUUUAUUUCUUACAAAUAAAUGGUUUUAAAAUGUGGUGUUAACCCCUCGGAUUGACUAGGGUUAUAAAAGAUCACUCUUUUAUUUAAAGAAAGCCAACUCAAAAGUUUAUGUUUUUGGGACUUGAUAAGUGGGACAGUUUGGUUGGGGCGACCGCCUUUAAAAAAGUAACGAAGGCGGGCUUAAGAUACAUAUUUAGUGAUGUCUGACUGCCAAGGGGAGAUCCUGAGCAGACACUUACUUUUUAGGUGGGUUUAAGUGA